RNAcentral lists this long non-coding RNA (4494 nucleotides) under Homo sapiens (human). RNAcentral's name for it is "HSALNT0028366". The record is from RNAcentral. Lineage: Eukaryota; Metazoa; Chordata; Mammalia; Primates; Hominidae.
GCAUGGGGCCCUUGGACAUCCUCAGGUAAGGAUGGGGCAGAGAAGGUUCUCAAGCAAUAUUCUGAAAUGAGCAUGAAUCGAUGAAUCAUUUUCCAGAGCUUGGGGGCUUUCCAGGGACAGUGAGCCCCAGGAAUCUGACACAUGGACUCUUACCAAGAGAAAUGGAAUUCCUGAGUGGGGACUGCACAGGAAGCAGUAACGCUUUUCAGCAUAAACUGUAGUCAUCCUGGCCAGGGCUGCAGGCAAGUGAGGGAGCAGCUGCGCCCGGGGUCUAGCAAAGCCCUGGUUCCUCCAGUGAGACCCAAAGCAUCUCCUGAAGGAAGGUCUCUUAAACGACCCUCAGAAUCGGAUUUCGCUCUGCAUCGAGUUUUCUGAAACUUGAAGAUCAAAUGCUGAGGUUACAAAUGCUUUCCAUUAUUUUCUUCAUGGUUUUCUAGAUUUUAAAACAUUGCUCUAGCCAGGGUGUUUUCCCAGCCCCCACGUCCAUGGCACCCCCAGUCUCUUCUCUGCACAUCUGGAUUUCCUACGGGGUUUCACUGGUGUCCAGGGCCGUCACCCAAAGGUGCCUGGCCUGGAGUAAGCAGAGGCUGGAACACAGCCUGAGCCUGGAACACAGCCUGAGCCCUGCUUGUCAAGUUCUGCUUCUGACCAGCGGAGGGGGGCCCAGACUGGGUGCCUAUUUCUAAUUCCUGGAAAGGUAUGUGCCCGCCGAGGCCCAGCUGGUGUCCCCCUCUAGAUGAAGUCACCUGCUGGGGCCACCACGACCCACCUGGGGCCCGCUGCCAGAUCCCACCAGCCUCUGCCGCCUUUGCCCGGUGCCACUGCCACUGCCCCAGGUCACCACCAUGAUGAUGAACCAGGCUCCCCAUGAGGUGCCAUAGCGGCACUAUGUUGUCUGGGGUCUUCCAAGCCACGUUGUUACAGGAAAAUGCUACACUUCCCAGAUGGUUUCAAAGUGCAAGCUGCAAUAACUCACAGAGCUUUGGUGAAGUCACUCAUUCUAUUUUAACUCAACUAUGGAACUAACUCUACUGUUGAAGGCAUGAGGGCGCCGGGCGGGGGAAUGAACCAGAGUGGUGGCCAUUCUGUGGGCCUUCCAACAUUCCUCAUCUUCGAGAUUUGUCAGUAAGGGAUUCUUACUGAUUCAGACUUGGGUCUGGGUCCUCUUUGUGAAGAUACACUUUGUGUCCUCAAAUUUGAAUGUUUUCCCAGAAAGCUCUUGUGUCCCCAAGACAGAUUUCUGGUGGCCUCCCCAUCACUGAGCCAGGCAGGCCCACACAUGCCUGCCCCAGGCUUAGGGUGGGGCGUGCUCCAUCAGAAAGAACAGGUCGAUCUUCUUUCCUUCUUCCCUUCCUUCCAGGUUACACAGCGACAUGCAAAGUCCUCCCCAGUAUGGACCACAUUGAAGCAGGUGUGAGGCAGACACCAGGGCUUCCCAGCCACCAGGCUUCUUUGGCCACUUUUUCGUCUUGUCCUGGUAGAAGGUGGCCAUGAAUCCAAGCACCCCUUCCAGCCUCACGAGAUGAAUUAAUUAGCCUAAACUGUUUGUGGUAAUUCCUUUCCCCUUGUGAGCAAUUUGGCACUUUUUGGCACCCAGUCUCUGGUGUGACCUCGCCAUCCUCAUUGGCACAGCCACCCUGGGAACAAAAGCCAUCCUCACGUGUCGCUGAGAUCCCAGCCAUGUGCACACUCAGCCCAGGUAGGCUGCAAGGGCAGAAGCCUCUGAGACCCACUGACUCUUAGCCUUAAUUCUUCCAAAUCAACUUUAAUUUGCCCCAAAUCCCCACACACCAGGACUGUGCCCAGGCUGUGGGGGUCUUACACAGCGUGAAAACUUCAGGAACUUCCUGCUGUCAUCAGUUACUGGUCUUCCUAUUUACCGUUUGGACAACCACAGACUGAAGGAAUCUGAAAUGGACCCGUCGGGUCAGUGGCUCUGAGCCACUGUGGGAAUGUCUGGCAAGGCUGGAAGCCCUGGGGUCUAAGGUCCAGGGGGCCAAGGUGCACCUGGGCUGGCCUUUUGUUCACAGGCUUCCCUGUGAUCUCCCUCCAGCCUGGGAGAAAAAAAAAAAUCUCUCUUCCAUGCUCCUCUCAAAGGCACCCCCUGCAGGACAUCCACACGGUCUCUCUGGGAGCUUGGGCUUUUAUUAAAGACACAGCAAGCCUGCCUUGCCAAAAUCCCUCAGACAAGGCCAUGCCAAGGGCUGGCGACCUCCUGGUAAUGUGAGAAGACACCAGAAGAACACGUACUCCUUUUUCAAUUAACUGUCCCCCCAUCUUUCCGAGGAAAUCUGACUCCUGUACCAAGCUUGCCUUCUAAACAGGUUGAGAGCCUAGAACCCAGGGUUGGGGCUUCUGGAGUGACUGAUAUCACCCCACGUAUGAAUCUGGCCCUGAUGCCAAGGACUGUGAUUCAACAAGGCAACUGGGGCCAUACACAGGGGUGCUGGGCCCUGUAGGAGACAGUGGCAAGGCCCUGCUCUCAGGCUCCUGGGUCCCAGUGGGGAGGCAGCCUCAUGCAUGGAUCCUUAGCCCGUGAGGAGCAGGAUGGCUGCAAUAAGGAGGAGGAAGCCUGAACAGCUGAUUCCUCCUUGGGCGGUGGGUGGGGUUGGCUCUGUGGGAUCUGAGAAGGCUUCUUGGGAGAGGUUGGGUUUAAGUUAGGACCUUGAGACAGGCAGGAGGAAGCCAUUCUAGAGAAAGGUGGCAGUUUCUGGGAGGGGUUUAUAAUUGAAGCUGGGGCAUCAGGGGUAUGUCAGAAGAAGGAGGGGCAGUGGAAAAUAAGCUUGUAAAAACAGCUUGAGGCCAAACCACAAAGAACACUGAAUGCCUGGGGAGGGGGAGUUUAGUUUGAAUUUUUAUUGUUUAUGCAUGGUCAUAGUUUAAGGAUCCCUGCCCCCAGUCUCAGAUUUUGCCUUUUCCUGCUUCCCAAGCUUUCAGCUGGUUCUUUUAGUAUUUACCUUCAUAGCUGUAAAUAUUAUGCUUAGAUUACUAUUUGAUUUUUCUACUUAUAAUGUCAUUCGUUGAGUUUCUGCUACAGAAGAUGAGAUGUUUAUGUAUAGUGAGAGCAGUAUACAUAAACAUACUUCCUAUCCCUUCAAAUAGAGUUACAUUAUAAUUUUAGUUCAUUAAUAGUUUGCAUUACAUUAUUAUUACUACAUCAACAAUACUCACAGCUGAAUCAUAUAGUAGACCAUGGUAACCUUUUGCUUGCUUAUUUUGUACUUUUCCUGAAAUUAAUCAUUACCUUGUUGUUUGCUUCUUUGUUUUAGUUUGUUUAAGUUUCUAAGUACUUAUUACUAAUGAAACCCCAAAGUUUUUGUCAAGUAUAGACAUCUCCUUUCAGGCUGUUCAGAAAGCCUGUGGUGUCCUACCAACUUCACCCUCCUGGGAAGCUCUUCUGAACCCUAGAGUCCUGUGCAUAACCAUUUGGGAAAAUCCCUUCAUCUCUCUCCUGGGUUAAGGUCCCCUUGCCUUCUUCCUCAUUUCACCCCUAUGUUUUGAUAGAGCACAUCCCCCAGUAGCUUUCUGAGAAAAGGUGCAUUUGGGGCCGUGAUACUUGAAUACCUGGAAAAGUCUUUUCUACCCUUGCAGUUGAUUGAUAGGUUGGCUGGGUAUAGGUUUUAGGUUAGAAAUCAUUUUCCUUUAGAAUUUUGAAAACACUGCUCCAUUGCUUUAAAAAAUGUUGCAACUGAGAAACAUAAAGCCAGCUUGAUUUCUGUCUCCUUUGUAUGUGAUGGGAUUUUUUUUUUCUGUUCUUCUGGGAGCUUUUACAUCUUCUCUUUGUCCCCAGUGUUGUGAAAUUUCACAAUAACCGACCUUGCUGUAGGUCUCUUCAUCCAUUGUGCUGGAAUGGGCCCUUUUAAUGUGGAAACUUGUCCCUCUUGUCUGGGACAUUUUCUUGAAAUAUUUCCUUGACAAUUUCUCUGACAGUAGGUAUUUUUUUCCACCCUUUGAAUAUAGAUGGAAAUACCAUUUUCCCCAGAAUGUAACCAGAUCUUGUCGUUCUAGAAUGUAGCCAGGGAAGCAAAGGCAUCCAGCUAAGUUUGCCUGUGGUAGGAGUCAGAGCGUAAGCUUACUUUGGAAAGGGAGUUCUGCGGUCCACUUUCUGCCUCCGCUGAAGGCCUUCAUGUCGAUGAAGUGCCUGGGAGGUCCUAAGUCUCAUCUUAUUAGAGAAACUGCUCCUGAACAGCCUAAGAUGUCACCCCAUGCAUCAGUUCAUAGUCUCUUACUCUGCUUGAUUUUACUUGCCACAUCAUAGGUGCUCAAUGCUCAUUGUUUGUCAAAUUGAAUUAUUUGGGACACAAUUUUCCCGUCUGUAAAAUGAAGGUGCUGGACUAGAAUUCUAAAAGUCCCAGUAGCUCCAAUGUCCAACAACUAUGCUUAUGUCACUGUGUUGGAAAAUGACUUAUAAAAGGGAAUGAAAUAGUCUCUGUAAAUAUGUUUCUCUGCCCACAUUUAAUGAAUUGUCUACCACAAUGAGGGGGAGUCCUAUUU